RNAcentral lists this ribosomal RNA (472 nucleotides) under uncultured bacterium. RNAcentral's name for it is "partial 16S ribosomal RNA". It matches the Rfam family "Bacterial small subunit ribosomal RNA", at positions 28 to 507 of the family's 1533-position model. The record is from RNAcentral.
GACGAACGCUGGCGGCGUGCUUAACACAUGCAAGUCGAACGCUGAAGCUUGGUGCUUGCACUGGGUGGAUGAGUGGCGAACGGGUGAGUAAUACGUGAGUAACCUGCCCUUGACUCUGGGAUAAGCCUGGGAAACUGGGUAUAAUACUGGAUACGACAUGCCACUGCAUGGUGGUGUGUGGAAAGGGUUUUACUGGUUUUGGAUGGGCUCACGGCCUAUCAGCUUGUUGGUGGGGUAAUGGCCUACCAAGGCGACGACGGGUAGCCGGCCUGAGAGGGUGACCGGCCACACUGGGACUGAGACACGGCCCAGACUCCUACGGGAGGCAGCAGUGGGGAAUAUUGCACAAUGGGCGGAAGCCUGAUGCAGCGACGCCGCGUGAGGGAUGACGGCCUUCGGGUUGUAAACCUCUUUCAGCACGGAAGAAGCGAGAGUGACGGUACGUGCAGAAGAAGCGCCGGCUAACUACGUG